Molecule: ribosomal RNA, 1542 nt
Filed under: Escherichia coli
Lineage: Bacteria; Pseudomonadati; Pseudomonadota; Gammaproteobacteria; Enterobacterales; Enterobacteriaceae
Description: bacterial SSU rRNA
Rfam family: Bacterial small subunit ribosomal RNA
Source: RNAcentral
AAAUUGAAGAGUUUGAUCAUGGCUCAGAUUGAACGCUGGCGGCAGGCCUAACACAUGCAAGUCGAACGGUAACAGAAAGAAGCUUGCUUCUUUGCUGACGAGUGGCGGACGGGUGAGUAAUGUCUGGGAAACUGCCUGAUGGAGGGGGAUAACUACUGGAAACGGUAGCUAAUACCGCAUAACGUCGCAAGACCAAAGAGGGGGACCUUCGGGCCUCUUGCCAUCGGAUGUGCCCAGAUGGGAUUAGCUUGUUGGUGGGGUAACGGCUCACCAAGGCGACGAUCCCUAGCUGGUCUGAGAGGAUGACCAGCCACACUGGAACUGAGACACGGUCCAGACUCCUACGGGAGGCAGCAGUGGGGAAUAUUGCACAAUGGGCGCAAGCCUGAUGCAGCCAUGCCGCGUGUAUGAAGAAGGCCUUCGGGUUGUAAAGUACUUUCAGCGGGGAGGAAGGGAGUAAAGUUAAUACCUUUGCUCAUUGACGUUACCCGCAGAAGAAGCACCGGCUAACUCCGUGCCAGCAGCCGCGGUAAUACGGAGGGUGCAAGCGUUAAUCGGAAUUACUGGGCGUAAAGCGCACGCAGGCGGUUUGUUAAGUCAGAUGUGAAAUCCCCGGGCUCAACCUCGGGAACUGCAUCUGAUACUGGCAAGCUUGAGUCUCGUAGAGGGGGGUAGAAUUCCGGUGUAGCGGUGAAAUGCGUAGAGAUCUGGAGGAAUACCGGUGGCGAAGGCGGCCCCCUGGACGAAGACUGACGCUCAGGUGCGAAAGCGUGGGGAGCAAACAGGAUUAGAUACCCUGGUAGUCCACGCCGUAAACGAUGUCGACUUGGAGGUUGUGCCCUUGAGGCGUGGCUUCCGGAGCUAACGCGUUAAGUCGACCGCCUGGGGAGUACGGCCGCAAGGUUAAAACUCAAAUGAAUUGACGGGGGCCCGCACAAGCGGUGGAGCAUGUGGUUUAAUUCGAUGCAACGCGAAGAACCUUACCUGGUCUUGACAUCCACGGAAGUUUUCAGAGAUGAGAAUGUGCCUUCGGGAACCGUGAGACAGGUGCUGCAUGGCUGUCGUCAGCUCGUGUUGUGAAAUGUUGGGUUAAGUCCCGCAACGAGCGCAACCCUUAUCCUUUGUUGCCAGCGGUCCGGCCGGGAACUCAAAGGAGACUGCCAGUGAUAAACUGGAGGAAGGUGGGGAUGACGUCAAGUCAUCAUGGCCCUUACGACCAGGGCUACACACGUGCUACAAUGGCGCAUACAAAGAGAAGCGACCUCGCGAGAGCAAGCGGACCUCAUAAAGUGCGUCGUAGUCCGGAUUGGAGUCUGCAACUCGACUCCAUGAAGUCGGAAUCGCUAGUAAUCGUGGAUCAGAAUGCCACGGUGAAUACGUUCCCGGGCCUUGUACACACCGCCCGUCACACCAUGGGAGUGGGUUGCAAAAGAAGUAGGUAGCUUAACCUUCGGGAGGGCGCUUACCACUUUGUGAUUCAUGACUGGGGUGAAGUCGUAACAAGGUAACCGUAGGGGAACCUGCGGUUGGAUCACCUCCUUA